AUGAACGCUGGCGGCGUGCCUAAUACAUGCAAGUCGAGCGAACAGAUGAGGAGCUUGCUCCUCUGACGUUAGCGGCGGACGGGUGAGUAACACGUGGAUAACCUACCUAUAAGACUGGGAUAACUUCGGGAAACCGGAGCUAAUACCGGAUAAUAUAUUGAACCGCAUGGUUCAAUAGUGAAAGACGGUUUUGCUGUCACUUAUAGAUGGAUCCGCGCCGCAUUAGCUAGUUGGUAAGGUAACGGCUUACCAAGGCAACGAUGCGUAGCCGACCUGAGAGGGUGAUCGGCCACACUGGAACUGAGACACGGUCCAGACUCCUACGGGAGGCAGCGGUAGGGAAUCUUCCGCAAUGGGCGAAAGCCUGACGGAGCAACGCCGCGUGAGUGAUGAAGGUCUUCGGAUCGUAAAACUCUGUUAUUAGGGAAGAACAAAUGUGUAAGUAACUAUGCACGUCUUGACGGUACCUAAUCAGAAAGCCACGGCUAACUACGUG
RNAcentral lists this ribosomal RNA (496 nucleotides) under uncultured bacterium. Its description in RNAcentral is "partial 16S ribosomal RNA". It matches the Rfam family "Bacterial small subunit ribosomal RNA", at positions 29 to 507 of the family's 1533-position model. The record is from RNAcentral.